AGGGUUCGAUUCUGGCUCAGGACGAACGCUGGCGGUGCGCCUUAUGCAUGCAAGUCGAGCGAAGCUUUUCAGUAGUUUACUACAGAAAAUGACUGAGCGGCGAACGGGUGAGUAACGCGUGAGCAAUCUACCUUAGUUACAGGGAUAGCCCGAGGAAACUCGGAUUAAUACCUGAUAUUCUUUAUUUCUCGCAUGAGAAUAAAAGGAAAGGUCAGCCGAACUAAGAUGAGCUCGCGUUCUAUCAGCUAGUUGGUGAGGUAAAAGCUUACCAAGGCUACGACGGAUAGCUGGUCUGAGAGGACGAUCAGCCACACUGGGACUGAGACACGGCCCAGACUCCUACGGGAGGCUGCAGCAGGGAAUAUUGUGCAAUGAACGAAAGUUUGACACAGCGACACCGCGUGUGGGAUGACGGAUCUAGGUUUGUAAACCACUUUCAGGAGGGAAGAAAAUGACGGUACCCCCACAAGAAGCCCCGGCCAACUACGUGCCAGCCGCCGCGGUAAUAC
Molecule: ribosomal RNA, 509 nt
Filed under: uncultured bacterium
Lineage: Bacteria
Description: bacterial SSU rRNA
Rfam family: Bacterial small subunit ribosomal RNA
Source: RNAcentral